AUGGGUUGACUCAUUUAGACCCCAAGCAGAACUAAAAAUGCUUGACUUGAGAGGUUGCUGGCUCUAAGUGAAGGUGCUAUAUCAUCUUUGUGCAAGAGAUUUCCCCAAAUGGAAGUUAGGCAUGAACUCGUUCGAGUUUCUCCAUCCGAUCAAAGUAGUCCAUGUGGACCAUCGCGAUCACGAACAUACUUGAAGACUAAGCAAGCCAAGAAAAAGCAAGAAGAAUUUCCCUUCCUUAUAGAUCAAAGAAUGAAGUAUAGCAGAGAGGAGCUGCUGGCAUUACAGUACUCAACUUUAUCUCUUGCAUUGGCUCAUGAGUGGCAAACAAGAUUUCAGUCAAGAAGUGAUAGCCUGCCAAGUGAUGUUUCAAGAUUUCCAGAGACAGGCUAGAGUGGUAAUAGAUUGAAAGCAUCCAUGCUUUAUGGUUCCGUGUUGUGUAUUCUAUCAAUGUAAUCAAUCAUAGUGGAUAUGGUUUUUUUUUUUUUCCAUUUUAGUACUUGAUCAUGAUAGAAUAAUUAACCUUCAAUCAUUUCAUCAUUAACUUCAAA
Molecule: non-coding RNA, 548 nt
Organism: Carica papaya (papaya)
Lineage: Eukaryota; Viridiplantae; Streptophyta; Magnoliopsida; Brassicales; Caricaceae
Source: RefSeq, a predicted model, not a curated record